RNAcentral lists this small RNA (1264 nucleotides) under Drosophila ananassae. RNAcentral describes it as "GF27567". The record is from RNAcentral. Lineage: Eukaryota; Metazoa; Arthropoda; Insecta; Diptera; Drosophilidae.
GCAAAGUUUAUUCAUUUAGAAAAUUUGCUCAUUUUCACUGUUCGUGGGGGCGAGUUAUUGUUGCUGCCUUGCUGGACUCCAGGACUCUCCAUCCAAAGGGGGUUAAUGUGGACAGGAAAAACGCGCACAAAGCAGAAGAGCAGGACGGCUCGAAUGCCUGGAAUGGCUGGCCAGGACUCGAGAUGAGAGAAAAAAGAUGAACAAAAGCUGCUGAUGAUGGCUUCUUUUUGGUUGGGUGUUCCUUGGCCCCAAAUCCGGCUCAUUAAGCCUUGGGUGGUGGUCAUCGCGGGUGUUGGAUUCUGCGGUACGACAGGGUGCGGGUGGAGUCGGGGUGGAUGGCCAAAAUCUGGACACUUGGGCCGAGUUUUUCGUGUCUUUCUAUUUUCUUCUCUUUUGGGCCAUUAGCUGAGAUGCGAUGGACGAGCAAAUUAUUCCCCAAAUACCCGGGGGUAAUUAUAAAUGUCAUUCCACGCUCGGCUUACGAAACGGACACAGACAAGGACGAAGGACGUGGACCGACAGGACAAUAGAGAGAGAGAGGGAGAAGGGACUAGAGACAAAGACGGGUGCAGGACAUCAGAUCAGGCCCCGUCAGGCGGACGCCGUGUUUGUCUAUCAUAAUGAGUGGCAGUCGGACAUUUGGACAUAAUUGUUCAAUUAUUUUGUUACUUAUGGCCUGCCAGCACCACUGCCCCACCACAGCCACACCACCACCCACAAAUACAAGCGCUAUACUAUUUUUUCUCAGUGUAGUAUUUCGUUAAUUUUCUUGUUCUGUCAUUUGCCAUACAUUUCGGAUAUUUGUCAAUUAGAUAUUUGCGCUAAAUCUCGGACUCCACACGGAUCUCAAACAUAUAUGUGUUUGUGUGUGUGGAUGAGUGCCACGCCCUCACCACUUACCGCCCACGGCCUCACCGCAUGACAGGAAGUCAACUGGAGACACCCGCAAAUGGAACACGCGACCGUCGAAUGUCAAAUUCAAUUACAAAAGCCAGGUCUAAGGGGAAUUACUGAGGGGGCGGCAGGACGACAGGGUGGCGGGGCGUGGCCGAGCCUCAGGUGUGCUUUGCCAUUCAAUUAUAAAUUUUCAAUAAAAAUUUGUGCCACUUGGUUCGUUCUCUCUGCUCCUCUCCUCAUCCAAGUCGAAAGACGAAGUCCUUUAUUGUUUUUGACAUUCGCUGCAAAUAAAACGAAAAGAGGGCGAUCUCCACCCACUUGAUUCGCCCAUUUUGCAGAAUAUUGCAUAAUGGAACCCCAUGACGUA